This 727-nucleotide ribosomal RNA is filed under the name uncultured bacterium. Its description in RNAcentral is "bacterial SSU rRNA". It matches the Rfam family "Bacterial small subunit ribosomal RNA", at positions 771 to 1498 of the family's 1533-position model. The record is from RNAcentral.
AACAGGAUUAGAUACCCUGGUAGUCCACGCUGUAAACGAUGUCGAUUUGGAGGUUGUGCCCUUGAGGCGUGGCUUCCGGAGCUAACGCGUUAAAUUGACCGCCUGGGGAGUACGGCCGCAAGGUUAAAACUCAAAUGAAUUGACGGGGGCCCGCACAAGCGGUGGAGCAUGUGGUUUAAUUCGAUGCAACGCGAAGAACCUUACCUACUCUUGACAUCCAGAGAACUUAGCAGGGAUGCUUUGGUGCCUUCGGGAACUCUGAGACAGGUGCUGCAUGGCUGUCGUCAGCUCGUGUUGUGAAAUGUUGGGUUAAGUCCCGCAACGAGCGCAACCCUUAUCCUUUGUUGCCAGCGGUUCGGCCGGGAACUCAAAGGAGACUGCCAGUGAUAAACUGGAGGAAGGUGGGGAUGACGUCAAGUCAUCAUGGCCCUUACGAGUAGGGCUACACACGUGCUACAAUGGCGUAUACAAAGAGAAGCGACCUCGCGAGAGCAAGCGGACCUCAUAAAGUACGUCGUAGUCCGGAUUGGAGUCUGCAACUCGACUCCAUGAAGUCGGAAUCGCUAGUAAUCGUAGAUCAGAAUGCUACGGUGAAUACGUUCCCGGGCCUUGUACACACCGCCCGUCACACCAUGGGAGUGGGUUGCAAAAGAAGUAGGUAGCUUAACCUUCGGGAGGGCGCUUACCACUUUGUGAUUCAUGACUGGGGUGAAGUCGUAACAAGGUA